AUUGAACGCUGGCGGCAUGCCUUACACAUGCAAGUCGAACGGCAGCACGGGUGCUUGCACCUGGUGGCGAGUGGCGAACGGGUGAGUAAUACAUCGGAACGUACCUUAUCGUGGGGGAUAACAAAUUGAAAAAUUUGCUAAUACCGCAUAAUCCUCUGAGGAGGAAAGCGGGGGAUUUGUAAGAACCUCGUCCGAUUAGAGCGGCUGAUGGCUGAUUAGCUAGUUGGUGUGGUAAAGGCCCACCAAGGCAACGAUCGGUAGCAGGUCUGAGAGGAUGAUCUGCCACACUGGAACUGAGAAACGGUCCAGACUCCUACGGGAGGCAGCAGUGGGGAAUUUUGGACAAUGGACGAAAGUCUGAUCCAGCAAUGCCGCGUGAGUGAAGAAGGCCUUCGGGUUGUAAAGCUCUUUUGUCAGUGAAGAAAACUUUAAUAAUAACACUAUUAAAGCAUGACGGUAACUGAAGAAUAAGGACCGGCUAACUACGUGCCAGCCGCCGCCGUAA
This 505-nucleotide ribosomal RNA is filed under the name uncultured bacterium. RNAcentral describes it as "partial 16S ribosomal RNA". It matches the Rfam family "Bacterial small subunit ribosomal RNA", at positions 30 to 523 of the family's 1533-position model. The record is from RNAcentral.